This 303-nucleotide ribosomal RNA is filed under the name Triticum aestivum (bread wheat). RNAcentral describes it as "partial small subunit ribosomal RNA". Lineage: Eukaryota; Viridiplantae; Streptophyta; Magnoliopsida; Poales; Poaceae. The record is from RNAcentral.
AUGAGAUAUGGGUUGUUCGGCAGUUUGAGCAAAAAACACUAUGGUGCUUCAUUUCGUCGUGCCAGGCAAGGUGCCAUGCGACGGAGGUUCAGCAUCGGCUACAAAAUCGCCAUGGAUUGGGGUACAACAGAGAAGGGGUUCAUCAUGCCACUAACAGGCAAGGUGCGCGGUGCUAUGGCUCCGUUUCCGGCCCCGGUGGCGUCUUCCGUUGGUCCCGCUGCCGUGCGGCGGCGCCGUUUUUGGCAUUGGCUACAAGAUGGGCAAGGUCUGCUCCUAUCCUCCGGUUUCUCUGAGCCUAUCUGA